GAUGAACGCUGGCGGCGUGCCUAAUACAUGCAAGUCGAGCGAACAGACGAGGAGCUUGCUCCUCUGACGUUAGCGGCGGACGGGUGAGUAACACGUGGAUAACCUACCUAUAAGACUGGGAUACCUUCGGGAAACCGGAGCUAAUACCGGAUAAUAUAUUGAACCGCAUGGUUCAAUAGUGAAAGACGGUUUUGCUGUCACUUAUAGAUGGAUCCGCGCCGCAUUAGCUAGUUGGUAAGGUGACGGCUUACCAAGGCGGCGAUGCGUAGCCGACCUGAGAGGGUGAUCGCCUACAUGGGAACUGAGACACGGCCCAGACUCUGACGGGAGGCAGCAGUAGGGAAUCUUACGCAAGGGGCGAAAGCCUGACGGAGCAACGCCGCGGGAGUGAUGAAGGUGUUCGGAUCGGAAAGCGCUGUUAUUAGGGAAGAACAAAUGCGUAAGUAACUAGGCACGUCUUGACGGUACCUAAUCAGUAAGCCACGGCUAACUACGUG
Molecule: ribosomal RNA, 497 nt
Filed under: uncultured bacterium
Lineage: Bacteria
Description: partial 16S ribosomal RNA
Rfam family: Bacterial small subunit ribosomal RNA
Source: RNAcentral